GAUGUGUAACUCAGUUGGUCAGAGUAGCGGUCUCUUAAACCGAAGGUCGAGGGUUCGAAUCCCUUUACAUCC
Molecule: transfer RNA, 72 nt
Filed under: uncultured Eubacterium sp.
Lineage: Bacteria; Bacillati; Bacillota; Clostridia; Eubacteriales; Eubacteriaceae
Rfam family: tRNA
About the family: Transfer RNA (tRNA) molecules are approximately 80 nucleotides in length. Their secondary structure includes four short double-helical elements and three loops (D, anti-codon, and T loops). Further hydrogen bonds mediate the characteristic L-shaped molecular structure. tRNAs have two regions of fundamental functional importance: the anti-codon, which is responsible for specific mRNA codon recognition, and the 3' end, to which the tRNAs corresponding amino acid is attached (by aminoacyl-tRNA synthetases). tRNAs cope with the degeneracy of the genetic code in two manners: having more than one tRNA (with a specific anti-codon) for a particular amino acid; and 'wobble' base-pairing, i.e. permitting non-standard base-pairing at the 3rd anti-codon position.
Source: RNAcentral